UUUCACUCUGUCACCCAGGCGGGAGUGCAGUGGCGCGAUCAUAGCGGGGACUACAAGUGUGCACCACAUGCUUGUCUACGAACCUGAAGUAUUCUGAUGCAGUGGAGAGAGUGUAGAACUCUGGAGUGAAGAGAUCUGCCUGGAACCCUGACUCUAUCACUAGGAGAUUCCUUGGAAUGAAACCAAUGGGAGUCCAGGGUUUGGGAGAGUCUCAUCAGAGCAGAUGGGCCAGCAGCAGCCAGAACGCUUGUUGCCUUUGGCUGAGAACACUAUCCUGGAUCUGAAUGUCUUCUUUGUCACUCCAAGAGAUGGCCCUGGGACUGAGAAGUGGAUGGCAGCUGUGACAGCAGGAGAGGACUGCCUGAGGCUCCCCGGGCAGAGGCUCUGGUGCCGGGUUAGCAGCAGGACCGACGGCAGACCCAGCAGCCAGAGAGUGAAAGGUGGGUAAAUUGAGGCCCAAGGAGAGGAAUGGACUUGCUGUGGACAUUCCAAGAGCCCAGAGGCAACUCAGGCCAAGGCGAGUCUGUCUGUUCUGAAUCUCUUAGGUCAGUUCUGAAUCCAAACAGUAACCGGACAAGCCCAUUCUCAGGAGCUCCUCAGCUCCAUUCUGUGGGGGCUUGGUUACCUGUAACAGGGCCUCAACAGGAGGGUCAUAGACUUGCCCAUUGCUUCCAAGCAACAGGGAGCUGGCAUUGCCCUGCCUCCUGUGGGACUCGCAAACAUAAAAUCUCAGGCUCUCUCAUUCUCACAUCUACAUUACAUAGCACUGACUCUGUGCCGGACACUGUUCUUAGUGCUUUGCAAAUAGUAAUUUAUAUAGUCCUCAUUGACUGGGA
RNAcentral lists this long non-coding RNA (836 nucleotides) under Pan troglodytes (chimpanzee). RNAcentral's name for it is "long non-coding RNA NONPTRT009721". The record is from RNAcentral. Lineage: Eukaryota; Metazoa; Chordata; Mammalia; Primates; Hominidae.